UACGUAGGUGGCAAGCGUUGUCCGGAAUUAUUGGGCGUAAAGCGCGCGCAGGCGGUUUCUUAAGUCUGAUGUGAAAGCCCCCCGGCUCAACCGGGGAGGGUCAUUGGAAACUGGGAAACUUGAGUGCAGAAGAGGAAAGUGGAAUUCCAAGUGUAGCGGUGAAAUGCGUAGAGAUUUGGAGGAACACCAGUGGCGAAGGCGACUUUCUGGUCUGUAACUGACGCUGAGGCGCGAAAGCGUGGGGAGCAAACAGG
RNAcentral lists this ribosomal RNA (254 nucleotides) under uncultured bacterium. RNAcentral's name for it is "partial 16S ribosomal RNA". It matches the Rfam family "Bacterial small subunit ribosomal RNA", at positions 524 to 776 of the family's 1533-position model. The record is from RNAcentral.